This 416-nucleotide ribosomal RNA is filed under the name uncultured prokaryote. RNAcentral's name for it is "bacterial SSU rRNA". It matches the Rfam family "Bacterial small subunit ribosomal RNA", at positions 505 to 918 of the family's 1533-position model. The record is from RNAcentral.
GUGUCAGCCGCCGCGGUAAGACGGAGGAGGCAAGCGUUGUCCGGAAUCAUUGGGCGUAAAGAGCGCGUAGGCGGUUUUUCAAGUCGUAUGUGAAAACUUCAGGCUUAACCUGACGAUUGCAUAUGAAACUGGAUAACUUGAGUACAGCAGAGGAAAGUGGAAUUCCUGGUGUAGCGGUGAAAUGUGCAGAUAUCAGGAAGAACACCAGUAGCGAAGGCGGCUUUCUGGGCUGUUACUGACGCGGAGGCGCGAAAGCUAGGGGAGCGAACAGGAUUAGAUACCCUGGUAGUCCUAGCCGUAAACGAUGGACACUAGGCGUGGGAAGUUAUCGACGCUUUCUGUGCCGAAGCUAACGCAUUAAGUGUCCCGCCUAGGGAGUACGGCCGCAAGGCUAAAACUCAAAGGAAUUGACGGGG